CUCAUGUAAACAAGCCAUCGGCAGUGACAAGUACCAGUUUCCAUGGCCCAUCAGACUAAACUGUUCACAGUGGCGGCCCAUCUUCUGAAAGAACAGAAAAGACACUGCAACGUCAAGAAAAAAAUGACUGCCGCUAUUCCCUGAGCGAUAACAGCCGCUCUUGAAAUGCAGGACAUGUUUCAUUUGGCUUAUAAUAAUUGUGUACUGUCUUUUAACCCUCAAAGUGUUAAGCAUUGUCAUAUCCUCUGGGGAUGAAAAGAUCUGGGGUUAACAACUUUCUCUUUUAAAAAUUCAUAAAGGUGCAAAUAAACAGCAUUGCAUCCAGUGGCUAUGCAUUGCAAGAAGCCAAGGGAGAAAGAGGAAAAAAAAAGACCACAACAACAACAUUACCCCCCACAGGAUACUUGGCAAUUAACUGCAGCUAUGUCAGCAAUUUUUUGAAAAAUUUCCUAAACAUGGAGAAGACUCAUCCUCACCAUAUGAAAAACAAAGCUACUGCAGUGACUCUCCCAUGCAUUACAAUGUGUGUGUCUUACUUCUUAACCAAGCCGCUAAUCACGCAAAUUAUUGCAACUAAUUACAUUUGAAGGUCUAAUUAAUUCUUUCAGUACCACAUCAUUUAGUACGCAUUCACAACACAGCACCUGUUUUGAAAAUCCUUGCAGUUAAUUUGUUUAUAAACAAACACUAUUUGCAUAAAAUGUUUAAUGAAUGGUUUAACAGUUAGUACAAUACUCCAGUUUUGUCUUCGUAGAUCUGAGGUCAUCAAAGGCCACGAUAAAUUAAUUUUAAACUAUACAAAUUAAUUUAAAUAGAAUGUGUGAAUUUCUCAUUAAUAAAGAAAACAUUUUCAACAUGUUAAUUAAUAUCUCUGUAACAGGCUAAUUGCUUCCUGCACAACAAGUACAUCUUACAAGCAAACCUUAAAGAUUUGGGGGGCAAAGGGGUGGGGACUAUUUUAAAACUGCAAAACAAAAAGUGCAAUUCAGAAAAAACACACACAGCCCGAUUAUACUGGAGAAUUCACCACUUAGGACAGGCAAACCAAGAAAGGAAGCUGUUGCCUUAUGUUACAAAUACAACACAUUUUAGUCAUCGAGAACGGGACGGUUGAAAAACAUUUCUAUCACAGGUGCAGUUACGCUGCAAAGAUGGUUAGAUGAUGUCUGCCUUCUGGUAGAAAGACAGAAUUAAUGAAAAUAUUAGUUCUGAGAGUGAAGAUCUCUCCUUUGAAUGUAGGGCAUAUUAGCUGUGUUUGUAACCCAAUGGUAAAUACGGAUUUCAUUAAACAAAUCUGCAUCUUCACACCAGUGUCUGAGGCUCAGCCAUCAUAAUUCUCCCUGUGGCAAACCAUGGAAAGAUACUUCACGUAGAAACUAAAGAGGAACAACAUUAUAGCCCAACAUCAAGCACAGCCCUUGCAAAAGCCGUCACUGAGAUAUGUUCGCCCUUAAGUUUGUUUCCGAUUUGCAAGCGUUUUCACAUUUGAUAAGCACCUGUUGUAAAUUUACAUCCACGCAGGAAGUAUUCUUAUGCUAGGGAGCUGAGAAUUGUAAAGCAUGUUUAUACUCUUACCCUUUUGUGGUGUUGCCCCUUAAUGCACAGGCUGAUAAAAUGACUAGCUACACAGGACCCAGAGGGAUGUGCCGCUCCACCUGGUUCCCGCCGCAUCUUCCCCCGAGGAGCCACUAGUCCCUUCCUCCUGGAACAGAUAAAUGCCAGCCAGCAUCCCUGUCUCUGGGGCCCUGGAGAGGCCUUCAACACACCUGGCCUCACUGCCCUGUGGCUUCAACAAAGAGGCCGAGCAUCUCCUAUAAACCUUGAGGUCCAUGGAUGACAUAGCGGAAUGAUGGAUUUCAGAAAAGGCAGGUGCUUCCCACUCUUUAAAUUUUUGUUUAUUCUUUCCAAGUUUCCCAUCAACAGCCCUGCAGUAAAAAUUCAGGGCUUCAGAGACAAAUAUUUCAUGAGUACAGACUGUGAUGAGGAAAAGCAAGCCAUUCCCUCUCUAUCAGGAUCCAGAGGUAAGCUGCUGCUUUGCUCUUAAAACGCAAGAAAAAAAAAGUGAUUAACGGUUGGCACAGGACUCAGGAUUAUACGCCAUUUCCAUGUUGACUUCUUUUUGGAAAAGAUACUCAGGAUAGCCAUGUGAGGAGUUACUCCGGGUUUCGGCCCCAUAGCCAGCUAGAACUGAGGUUCAAGGGGCAGAGGGUGAACUCCCCAGCAGAGACAGAACGGGGCAGGAGGGGGGCAGGAGGAGGGCAGGAGGCGGGUGGCUGUCAGACAAAAUGCUUCCAUCCCAGAACAAGCAGAAACAGGCGCACCACUCUGCAAUAUAAAAGUCAGAAAGCCUUGCAACCUAGAUGCAACCCAGGGACUUCCCCCUUGCAGCCAGCAGCCAAGGCAGCUUCUAGGCACUGUGUGGCUGUAUUUAAACCCAACUUGGUCCCUAACUUCUCUCCAAAGCCGGUCAAGUUGCCCCACCCUAAGCAUCCAGAUGACAGGCUCCUGCCUCCCCUCUUGCACAAAAUCAUUCCCGGAUGUAGAGCCUGGCUUUUUCUCUUUACCCAUUAAAAAUCACCAGCGUUUUGCAAAUAAAGGCGAUCACCAUGUGAAAAAUUAUCUUUUAAAAUGGAGUUUAAUUUGCAUAUAAGGAACGAGAGAUUUAUGACAAGCAACAUCGUCCAGUACUGCAUCUGCCUAGUAUCAGUCGUAAUUUAGAUUGUUUGUGACUGAUCUUAAAUUCUAAAGCUUGGAGAAGAUGAAGUACUCUGUUGCUGUAUUAUUGUCAGGAGUCUAAGACUUACCAGAGAUUUAUUAGUAAUCUUAUCACAAACAUGUCUCAAGUUUUUGCUUUUAAUAUGUGCCAAGCUCCUCUGAGGAAUUUUCCUCACUGCAAUUAUAUUCCUCAAUGCCUGCAUUCUGAAGCUGAGUUGAUUUCCUUCCCAAAAUAAAGCGACCUAUCAUUACACCACAGCCGCUCUUGUACAUUUUUCCUCUGCUACUUAAUAAUCAAUGUAUUCAUCAUUAAAAUCUGAGCCCUGAAGCAAUGGUUUUUAGCAUAUUCUAAUGACUAGCGACUUGCAAAUUACAAUGACCUUUCAUGUACAUUCUGUAAGCACCUUGUUCUAAUGUGUACUGUAUUUAUAGUUUGCCAAUACAAACUAGCCAAAGAUUGGAUAAUUACUGUAAUCUAUUAGCUCGAUUGCUUUCCCUGCUCAUUUAUAGCAUGUGCCACGCAGGCCAUUUUCAAAAACUGGCCUAUCUUUCAUCUCCCGCAAGCUCAGAAAGUAAGGGAUACUUCAUCUUCACAAUAUACACACUUACAAAUGUCUGAAGAACAGCCCGUCUCAGCUCAAGGAGGUUUCAAAAAUAAAGAACCUUCUUUCCUAUUAGUGUCAUAAUGCUAUUUGUGACUGACAAAAAACACCGCUCCGAGAAUGUAAACUUUCAUUGAAGAAUGUCAAGGCCAGUCCCAUUUUCUGCCCAUUACUCUGACCUCCAAAUAGCAUUUAAUAAGAUCUGCUUUGAAAGAAAAAGAUAAAGGCACUUCCCUUAAACAAGAAACAAUUUUUUUUGUUAUAAGUAAAUGUUUCAAGUGAAAUAUUAAACUUUUUCUUUUCUUCUUUUUCUUUUUUUUUUUUUUUUUUAAGCACACUGCUGUUACGACUCCAGAACCGAUAAGGAAGCUAUGUGUGGAAGUAUGAGCUCAGGUCGCCUUCUGACCCUCUGUGACGGUCUAUUUCAGGCAGUUAUGGAUAGAUAACAUUACAGACACUGGUAAUUAAAACAACACUAAUUUUGUCUCUGUGGUCACGCUUUGUUGUUAGAAGCCAUCUAUCAUGGCCUUCACGCAUCACGCAAUGAGAAGACAUUUGUCUACGUACAUUGUGCUUGGUCAACGGUUUUACGGAUUUCCCCGCGUACCUGGACACCCAGGCACUUUUAAAGACGUACUGCCUUCAUUUCUACUCUAUUACUCUGAUUAAUAAAACAUUUUGCAUGCUUCAUCAAAACACCCUGCAAGCUUUUCACCACAUAUAUUCAUGGGGGGGGAAGCAAUGUUAAUUUCUUUCCCUUUUAGAAAGAAACUAACAACAACAACAACAAAAGAAAUUCUCUUUUGGAUUGGAAGAGAGAAAGAAAAAUUCAAAUAUGGAAAUAUUUGUCUUCCCUGUAAAACAGAGUCCAGCCUAAUGAAAAGCAUAAUAUUAAAACACACACACAAUGCCAAGCAUCUCCUUUAAGGCUACACGUAUUUUUGACUAUAUGUAUCGUUAGUUCUUUUCUGUGCAUUCAUUUGCUUGAUUUAUGGACACUCAAUUUCACUUCACCUUUUAUUACAAGAUCUACAGUUACAUUAAGAGUAAUAGCAAGUCAAAUGUUUUUAUAUUUGGGCAAUUAAAAAAAAAGAAAAGAUCUAUUCCUUGGGCCCUUAUAAGAAAUUAGGGAUAGCUGAAAUGCAAGAUGACUAGUUUAGUUCUGUUGUAAUCAACUAAGAAGAAACUGUAAUGGUGCAUUUCAAGGGAUCUUUAACAAGUGACACAAACAAGAGAAGAAGCAGACAGGACCAUUUAACUUCAAACUCCACCGAAGAGAGCUGAAUUGUAAGCUUCCUACAGCAAGCCCGGCUGGCGGCUAUGUGGCAGUCUUCAUUUCUCAGCGGAAAAGCCACUCCCUUGAGACUCUCCAGGCACCCCCCAACCGCAUUUUUUAUCAAGUGUCUAAAAGGUAGGAGCUGUUAGAAUUCUUUUCUCUAUUCACAGAUGAUCACAGCCCUUUUUUCCCCUUUAGCUUGCAGACGCACAUGUAGUUUCAAAUAUUAGCUAGAACUCCAGCCCUCACCAGCCCCUAAUUGCUCUCUCAGGGAAGGUAUCAUAAACUCAGGUAUGGCUGACACAGAUGUAGCUUCAACUUUAUGCAGGCAGGAAUGCUACAUCAAAGCUAUUUGCAAAGUGACAUAGCUAGUUGUUUAAAAGAACAUUUUUAUUAUAUUCCUUGGAAUUUGCAUUCUUCUAGAAACCAAGUGUAUUUUUUAACACGGCCUCAGAAAUGUUGGGGCAAUUGACCAUUCAUGAUGUCUGCAAAGGAAAAGCAUCUAAAUAUUUUUCAAGCGACUUUAAUAAAUUUGAGUGCGUCUGUCACUACAUGUAACCUGAUUAUUUAAAUAAGUUAAUAUUAUCACUUCUCUUUUGCCAGCUGCUGUAAGCAGUCGGCUGCUGUCAUUAAGCAAAAAGGCCAAGACAAUGUGAGUUUAUCUGGUCCUACCUGCAUUUCUACUCAUCGUUGGACUGAAACAAAUGGGAAAGAAAAACUUACUGACUUUUGGCGAACUACAAAGGUUAACUCUAUUCAUCAUGGAGAAACUGAUACUAAGUGCUUUCUGUCUGUCCAUAUAUUCUAAAGAUUUAGAAGGAACCUGGUAGUGUUCCUGGGAGACAGAAGACAGAGUGUUCAUCUUUGCCAUAUGC
RNAcentral lists this long non-coding RNA (5468 nucleotides) under Homo sapiens (human). RNAcentral describes it as "HSALNT0258426". The record is from RNAcentral. Lineage: Eukaryota; Metazoa; Chordata; Mammalia; Primates; Hominidae.